Cyprinus carpio (common carp) is the source of this 590-nucleotide long non-coding RNA. RefSeq lists it as uncharacterized. Lineage: Eukaryota; Metazoa; Chordata; Actinopteri; Cypriniformes; Cyprinidae. The transcript has 4 exons. The record is from RefSeq and is a predicted model, not a curated record.
UUGGAUUACUAGAACUAUUUGAGUCUAUUUACUUCGUAUUUCUGCUUUCCUAAUCGUAAUUGAUUAUUGUACACUCAUUCAACUUGAGCGCAUAGAAAUUCACAGACACUCAAAUAUCUCACUUUCACCCAAAGUAUAAUUUCCCUUUAAAAGGAUCUCCGCGCCAGACGUUUUUUUCUGACGUAAUGACGCACGAGCCUGAUUUCAACUUCUGUUGCUCAGCUGACAACCGCCAUUUUUUUCCUCCGCACUCGAUGAAAAAGAAUCAAAAGCUUUUUAAAUAUUUGACGACUGAGGAGGACACUUUGCUAUAACGUUGUUACAUGACUGAAAACAUUCACGUGAAAAGAGUGUGUCCUGAAGGCCCUCAUCGUUUUCCUGGGGAAAUCCUCAAGAUCUUAUCAAGGAGUACCUUGAGAACCAGCAAGAUGAUUGCGAGGGUGAGCUGGAGCAGUUCACCAUGGCAGUGUAUUUUAUUCGGAAGGAGGGGGGACAUCACAAACCACCGGCUGACAUAAGUGUCGUCAUCAAGGCUGUCAAAGUUCUGAAUGAGCUGCCUUCGUUCACAUCAGCUUGUGCCUUGCUUCUCG